AGGAGGCUUGGGAUACUCGGAACAACGUCGCGGAAGAAGACGUGACAGGUGGCGGCAUGGAGGGCAAUGAAGGAGGUGGAGAUGAGGAGGAACUUGGAGAGGAGAUCGAUGGGGGAGGCAGAGAUCGGGCUUGGAGCAGAGAGUUGGACGAGGGAGGCAAGGUGGUCGUCGAGGUGGAUUAUGCCAGAUGGGGAGUAGGCGCUGAGGGAUCAAAGGCUUUGAGAGAGACGAAAGAGUUUCAAUUGAAAUCCUUCGAUUUUGUCUAAAUUAUAUAUUUCCCAUGCGUUUCUGUUCCUAGCUUUCACA
This 306-nucleotide long non-coding RNA is filed under the name Elaeis guineensis (African oil palm). RNAcentral describes it as "long non-coding RNA (EGUI_LNC012868)". Lineage: Eukaryota; Viridiplantae; Streptophyta; Magnoliopsida; Arecales; Arecaceae. The record is from RNAcentral.